This 64-nucleotide transfer RNA is filed under the name Calyptogena pacifica. Its description in RNAcentral is "tRNA-Thr". Lineage: Eukaryota; Metazoa; Mollusca; Bivalvia; Venerida; Vesicomyidae. The record is from RNAcentral.
UAUUGAAGGAAAAGUAUUCCUCUUUUUAACUUAAAUAGGUUAAACUGAAUGCAGUUAUUGAUAU